RNAcentral lists this ribosomal RNA (497 nucleotides) under uncultured bacterium. RNAcentral's name for it is "partial 16S ribosomal RNA". It matches the Rfam family "Bacterial small subunit ribosomal RNA", at positions 28 to 507 of the family's 1533-position model. The record is from RNAcentral.
GAUGAACGCUGGCGGCGUGCCUAAUACAUGCAAGUCGAGCGAACGGACGAGAAGCUUGCUUCUCUGAUUUUAGCGGCGGACGGGUGAGUAACACGUGGAUAACCUACCUAUAAGACUGGUAUAACUUGGGGAAACCGGAGCUAAUACCGGAUAAUAUUUUGAACCGCAUGGUUCAAAAGUGAAAGACGGUCUUGCUGUCACUGAUAGAUGGAUCCGCGCUGCAUUAGCUAGUUGGUAAGGUAACGGCUUACCAAGGCAACGAUGCGUAGCCGACCUGAGAGGGUGAUCGGCCACCCUGGAACUGAGACACGGUCCAGACUCCUACGGGAGGCAGCAGUAGGGAAUCUUCCGCAAUGGGCGAAAGCCUGACGGAGCAACGCCGCGUGAGUGAUGACGGUCUUCGGAUCGUAAAACUCUGUUAUUAGGGAAGAACAUAUGUGUAAGUAACUGUGCACAUCUUGACGGUACCUAAUCAGAAAGCCACGGCUAACUACGUG